AGAGAGACGCUGGCGGCGUGCCUCAUACAUGCAAGUCGAGCGGAUGCAGGAAUGCAUUAGCGGCGGACGGGUGAGUAACACGUGGGCAACCUGGCCUUAAGAGGGGGAUAACGUUCCGAAAGGGACGCUAAUACCGCGUAAAUCAGCGAAAUCGCAUGAUUUUGUUGGAAAAGGAGAAAUCCGCUUAAGGAUGGGCCCGCGGCCUAUUAGCUAGUUGGUAGGGUAACGGCCUACCAAGGCGACGAUAGGUAGCCGACCUGAGAGGGUGAACGGCCACACUGGAACUGAGAAACGGUCCAGACUCCUACGGGAGGCAGCAGUAGGGAAUAUUCCGCAAUGGGCGAAAGCCUGACGGAGCAACGCCGCGUGAGUGAAGAAGGUCUUCGGAUCGUAAAGCUCUGUCAACAGGGACGAAACAAGACGGUACCUGAGAAGGAAGCCACGGCAAACUACGUG
This 456-nucleotide ribosomal RNA is filed under the name uncultured bacterium. RNAcentral describes it as "bacterial SSU rRNA". It matches the Rfam family "Bacterial small subunit ribosomal RNA", at positions 33 to 507 of the family's 1533-position model. The record is from RNAcentral.